RNAcentral lists this ribosomal RNA (253 nucleotides) under uncultured bacterium. RNAcentral describes it as "partial 16S ribosomal RNA". It matches the Rfam family "Bacterial small subunit ribosomal RNA", at positions 524 to 776 of the family's 1533-position model. The record is from RNAcentral.
UACGUAGGGGGCAAGCGUUGUCCGGAUUUACUGGGCGUAAAGAGCGUGUAGGCGGCCAAGCAGGUCCGUUGUGAAAACUGGAGGCUUAACCUCCAGACGUCGACGGAAACCGCGUGGCUAGAGUCCGGAAGAGGAGAGUGGAAUUCCUGGUGUAGCGGUGAAAUGCGCAGAUAUCGGGAGGAACACCUAUGGCGAAGGCAGCUCGCUGGGACGUUACUGACGCUGAGACGCGAAAGCGUGGGGAGCAAACAGG